This 472-nucleotide ribosomal RNA is filed under the name uncultured bacterium. Its description in RNAcentral is "bacterial SSU rRNA". It matches the Rfam family "Bacterial small subunit ribosomal RNA", at positions 355 to 825 of the family's 1533-position model. The record is from RNAcentral.
UGGGGAAUUUUGGACAAUGGGCGAAAGCCUGAUCCAGCAAUGCCGCGUGAGUGAAGAAGGCCUUCGGGUUGUAAAGCUCUUUUGUCAGGGAAGAAACGGUGAGAGCUAAUAUCUCUUGCUAAUGACGGUACCUGAAGAAUAAGCACCGGCUAACUACGUGCCAGCAGCCGCGGUAAUACGUAGGGUGCAAGCGUUAAUCGGAAUUACUGGGCGUAAAGCGUGCGCAGGCGGUUUUGUAAGUCUGAUGUGAAAUCCCCGGGCUCAACCUGGGAAUUGCAUUGGAGACUGCAAGGCUAGAAUCUGGCAGAGGGGGGUAGAAUUCCACGUGUAGCAGUGAAAUGCGUAGAUAUGUGGAGGAACACCGAUGGCGAAGGCAGCCCCCUGGGUCAAGAUUGACGCUCAUGCACGAAAGCGUGGGGAGCAAACAGGAUUAGAUACCCUGGUAGUCCCUGAGCGGGCUGGCAAGGCGCAU